AGAGUUUGAUCCUGGCUCAGAUUGAACGCUGGCGGCAUGCCUUACACAUGCAAGUCGAACGGCAGCACGAGAGCUUGCUCUUGGUGGCGAGUGGCGAACGGGUGAGUAAUAUAUCGGAACGUACCCUAGAGUGGGGGAUAACGUAGCGAAAGUUACGCUAAUACCGCAUACGAUCUACGGAUGAAAGUGGGGGAUCGCAAGACCUCAUGCUCAUGGAGCGGCCGAUAUCUGAUUAGCUAGUUGGUGGGGUAAAAGCUCACCAAGGCGACGAUCAGUAGCUGGUCUGGGAGGACGACCAGCCACACUGGAACUGAGACACGGUCCAGACUCCUACGGGAGGCAGCAGUGGGGAAUUUUGGACAAUGGGCGCAAGCCUGAUCCAGCAAUGCCGCGUGAGUGAAGAAGGCCUUCGGGUUGUAAAGCCCUUUUGUCAGGGAAGAAACGGUGGACUCUAAUACAGAUCACUAAUGACGGUACCUGAAGAAUAAGCACCGGCUAACUACGUGCCAGCAGCCGCGGUAAUACGUAGGGUGCAAGCGUUAAUCGGAAUUACUGGGCGUAAAGCGUGCGCAGGCGGUUGUGCAAGACAGAUGUGAAAUCCCCGGGCUCAACCUGGGAAUUGCAUUUGUGACUGCACGGCUAGAGUGCGUCAGAGGGGGGUAGAAUUCCACGUGUAGCAGUGAAAUGCGUAGAGAUGUGGAGGAAUACCGAUGGCGAAGGCAGCCCCCUGGGAUAACACUGACGCUCAUGCACGAAAGCGUGGGGAGCAAACAGGAUUAGAUACCCUGGUAGUCCACGCCCUAAACGAUGUCUACUAGUUGUCGGGUCUUAAUUGACUUGGUAACGCAGCUAACGCGUGAAGUAGACCGCCUGGGGAGUACGGUCGCAAGAUUAAAACUCAAAGGAAUUGACGGGGACCCGCACAAGCGGUGGAUGAUGUGGAUUAAUUCGAUGCAACGCGAAAAACCUUACCUACCCUUGACAUGUCUGGAAUCCUUGAGAGAUCAGGGAGUGCUCGAAAGAGAAUCAGAACACAGGUGCUGCAUGGCUGUCGUCAGCUCGUGCCGUGAGAUGUUGGGUUAAGUCCCGCAACGAGCGCAACCCUUGUCAUUAGUUGCUACGAAAGGGCACUCUAAUGAGACUGCCGGUGACAAACCGGAGGAAGGUGGGGAUGACGUCAAGUCCUCAUGGCCCUUAUGGGUAGGGCUUCACACGUCAUACAAUGGUACAUACAGAGGGCCGCCAACCCGCGAGGGGGAGCUAAUCCCAGAAAGUGUAUCGUAGUCCGGAUUGUAGUCUGCAACUCGACUACAUGAAGUUGGAAUCGCUAGUAAUCGCGGAUCAGCAUGUCGCGGUGAAUACGUUCCCGGGUCUUGUACACACCGCCCGUCACACCAUGGGAGCGGGUUUCACCAGAAGUGGGUAGCCUAACCGCAAGGAGGGCGCUCACCACGGUGGGAUUCGUGACUGGGGUGAAGUCGUAACAAGGUA
RNAcentral lists this ribosomal RNA (1491 nucleotides) under metagenome. RNAcentral describes it as "bacterial SSU rRNA". It matches the Rfam family "Bacterial small subunit ribosomal RNA". The record is from RNAcentral.